RNAcentral lists this transfer RNA (86 nucleotides) under Candidatus Saccharimonadota bacterium. Its description in RNAcentral is "tRNA-Leu". It matches the Rfam family "tRNA". From Rfam's summary of the family: Transfer RNA (tRNA) molecules are approximately 80 nucleotides in length. Their secondary structure includes four short double-helical elements and three loops (D, anti-codon, and T loops). Lineage: Bacteria; Candidatus Saccharimonadota. The record is from RNAcentral.
GCCGCGGUGGUGGAAUUGGUAGACACGCUAGUCUUAGGAACUAGUGUCGUAAAGACGUGGAGGUUCGAGUCCUCUCCGCGGCACCA